CUAUCUCCACUUCACUGCUGCCAGUAUCGGAUUUCAUCGCAGAAAAAGUUAUGGCUGCAAUAAUGAAAGUUCUUUAGUCCAAAACUAACAUUAUAAUAGAUGAAAGUUUUGAGAUUGACAUCGUAACAGUAAGAUCUGUUGGUGCAGGAAAAAAACCUAAAGGUUUGCAAUAUUGAAUUUGAUCGUAUCAAGAAACGAUCAAUUAUUAGUGUUCCUUAUGAUCCUUCAAGCUUGUUGUGCAAAGGCCAUAGUAUUUGCUUGGGAAAAAAUCAACAGCCCAUAAAUGCAAUGAGGGAUCAUAAACUUCACCCUCCCUUAGAAAAUAGGGCUCGAGAACUGUACAGGUCAGCAGGAGUUCCAUUAGGCACCUGUGCAUUCAAAGAAGUUGCUUUAUUCGAGAAUCAUCUAGAUGUUCAGGUGGUUGUGAUAUCCUCUAAAAACUUGAAUCAAGUCGCUUAUAAAGAACGUUAUAGAUCAACAAGAAUAAAUUUGUCGCUGCAUGAUGGACAGUAUGAUAUUGUGGGAAAGAAUCCUCACCAGAGCAACCUAUAAGAAGGCCCCAGCUGAUCACGUGAGUCCUCUCCACGUGAUGCAAGCCAGCCAGAUGCCUCUUAAAAAGGCAGAUCCAGAGAAAGACUUGGAAGAGACGUGGCGUUCUUACCUUACGCUGUGGAAUAGGCUCUGCAUCCUUUUGUUAUAUACGCUCUUAAAUGUUAAGCUUAUGGUUAACUAAAAAUGUUUUAAAGACACUUCCUCGUCUUCAUUUAGCCUAUCCCACAAUACAAUAAAAUCGUUGAAAUGUUUUUAUGGUACUGAUUACUACUGUGAAAAGUAUGAUGGAGCUUUUCAAUCGAUAGAAAAUCAUCGAUGUCCUAAUGCAUGCCAUAUAUUUCUGAAAUGUAGCUGCAUUUUGACUGAGCCCAAAAGACGACUUGAUUGCAACAGUCUAUGCCAAUCAGAACAAUGUUUCACUGCACAUAAAGCACUGGUAGGAAAUAAGAUGCUUUCCAUAUGUGAGCGGAUGUAUCAAUGCAGACUGUGCUGUGCUAUUCGUCGACGAGACGGUUCUUUCAGCAUGUAUGUGGCACCCAAAACUGUCCCUCAUGCCAUAGAUUUGUGAUGUCAUCUGAAUAUCUCUGCUGUCUACAAAGAGUCUCUAAAGUCACCCUGUGAAAAGCUGAUAUUUUUUUGAUUUCGAAACAGAUCAAUUUUCGGGAGGGCACAUUGUGAACGCAGAUGGCAGAGAAACAGUAUUUAAGGGCUACUCAUCAUUACAGGAAUUUUGUGCAUGGCUUUUUGCUCCGGUUCAUAAAGGCUAUACGGCUAUAGCACAUAACAUGAAGGGAUAUGUAAAAACUAUUUCAUAUUUUAAAUAAAUUUAAAAUUAUAAGGCAAUUUUUUCAAGCACUUUUUAAAAUCUAUCUAUCAUUUUUUUAGAUUUCAUGGACAGUUUAUAACUGGCUGGUUACUGCAGCAAGGCAUUGAUCCGGAUGUAAUACCCAAUGGAUCAAAAUUAAUGUCCAUCAAGCAUUCAUCAUUGGACAUAACAAUUAUUGAUUCAAUGAGUUUUCUCCCGAUGGCAUUAUCUAAGCUAACAAGCUGCUUUGCAUUGAACACGUUGAAGAAAGGUUACUUCCCUCAUCUCUUGAAACUGAGGGAAAAACCCAAAUUAUGCUGGAUUGGAUCUUGGAUUUUUAUGGCGGAAGAGCCAAAGCUGACUAUGCUGCGCCAAAACAAGUCAAAAUUAUGUUGGAUCUCUUCCCAGUCAGCAGUAUUACUGUCCGGAUACGAUGAUUCUUCCAGCAAGAGAAAAAUUUACAUAUUGGCACUUAGAAUGAUCAAUUCGAUUUUCAAAAAGAAAUAUUAGAAUACUGCCGCUCGGAUGUACACAUAUUGCGUCGUUGUUGCCAAAUAUUUAGGGAAGAGUUUUUGAAAAUUGCUUGUGUAGAUCCGUUCCAGUACGUAACUAUUGCAUCAGCUUGCAUGGCUGCGUAUAGAAACGGUCACAUAACAAACGACACGAUCGCAAUGGUGCUAUUGUGGCUAUAUUAGUGGGGAGAAUUACAGCCCUGAUGCGAUUCGUUGGCUGGAUUAUAUAUCGUCUUCUGAAGGUAUAGAAAUCCAGCAUUGCUAAAUAAGAAUGGCGAAAGAAAAAUCGGAUGUGUCUUGGUAGAUGGAUACUGUGAAGAGACAAAAACAGUAUAUCAAUACCAGGGCUGUUUCUUUCAUGGAUGUGGAGUUUGCUUUGAUGGGGAUUCCAAGCAUUCGUUGAAAGGCCUUACUAUGUCUUCCGUGCGGCAAAAGACGGCAGAAAUCUGCGCAAAAAUCCAAUCUCUUGGGUAGACUGUUGUUGAAAUGUGAGAUUGAUUGAUUGAGUUUUCUGGCGCAAGAGCCAUGCUUGGCGAUGCUGUUGAAAUGUGAGAACAUAAGUUUUUGAGGAGGAAAAAAGAAGACCCCAAUCUCCGAUCUUUUCUAAUUACCCAUUCAUUAUAGGAUCGUUUGAACCCCAAAGAUUCAUUUUUUGGGGGACGAACAAAUGGAAUGAAAUUUCACUACGAGGGAAAUAUAAAAUAUGUUGAUUUCACAUCACUCUAUCAAUGGGUCAACAAAUAUUGUUUGUAUCCAACUCGACACCCUCAAAUUAUAGCGGAAACUUUGGAGAGAUCGAAGACUAUUUUGGCAUUAUCCGCUGCAGGGUGCAUUAAGUAUAUCACUUCCCAAGAUCGUCCAACUCUCUUUUCAGAACAUAUAUAGAUACUUUUCUGAAAAUAAAACAAGAGAGUAGUGGAUGGCCCAGUAAUUGCACUACCGAAGAAAAAAAGGUAACUUACAUUCGGGAGUAUGAACAAAAAGAAGGGAUCAAGUAGGAUCCUCAAAACAUUGCCAAAAAUCCAGGGCGAAGUCAGGUUGCAAAACUUGCUUUAAAUAGUUUCUGGGGAAGAUAGGGAAUGAAUACUGCACAAAUGCAAUUGAACUACGUUCAUACAGUGUCUGAGUUUAACAAGUUACUUGAUGACCCUUCCAAAAAUAUUGAAGACAUAUCUUCCAACACCGGAAGUAGCCGCUAUUAAGUGGGAAUUCAGAAAAGAAUUUCUGUUUCAAGACGCUUCCACCAAUGUAUUUCUCGCUUUUUCCACCACAGCUUGGGCGCGCAUCAAGUUGUAUGAUGAAAUAGAGAGGUUGAGAAGAAAUGUUCUAUAUCACGAUACAGAUUCGAUACAAGCGAUGGCACGAACGAUCCUCCCCUGGGAAUCUUUCGUGGAUGAACUGGAUAGCGAUACUAUAACAACUUUUAUUUCUGAUGUAUCAAAAAAAUAUGUCUUCAAAGCAAGAAGUGGAGAAACAUGCUACAAAGUUAGAGACUUCACUUUAAAUUCUAAGAAUGUUAAAAAAAAAAUUAAAGUUUGAAGCCAUGGAAGCAUUGAGACAAAAUAUGGAUCACAAAAGAACAACAAUACCUCUUGAAACCCCAAAUAAAAUCACCAGAGAUGCCAAAAGAAGAAAAGUGAUCAAUAAAAAAGAAAUAAAGAUAUACGGGAUGGUGUGUGAAAAUACCUUUUACUUUUGUUUCAUAUCCAUAUGGUAGUCACUUGUUCAUAAUAUUACUUUUUCGUUAAA
RNA transcript from Argiope bruennichi, 3618 nucleotides. RefSeq lists it as uncharacterized. The record is from RefSeq and is a predicted model, not a curated record. The transcript is spliced from 11 exons. NCBI's taxonomy places the organism in Eukaryota, Metazoa, Arthropoda, Arachnida, Araneae, Araneidae.